RNAcentral lists this ribosomal RNA (468 nucleotides) under uncultured bacterium. RNAcentral describes it as "partial 16S ribosomal RNA". It matches the Rfam family "Bacterial small subunit ribosomal RNA", at positions 28 to 507 of the family's 1533-position model. The record is from RNAcentral.
GAUGAACGCUGCCCGAAUGCUUAACACAUGCAAGUCUACUUGAAUUUGGGUUUUUUCACUUAGAUUUGGGUGGCGGACGGGUGAGUAACGCGUAAAGAACUUGCCUCACAGCUAGGGACAACAUUUGGAAACGAAUGCUAAUACCUGAUAUUAUGAUUAUAAGGCAUCUUAGAAUUAUGAAAGCUAUAUGCGCUGUGAGAGAGCUUUGCGUCCCAUUAGCUAGUUGGAGAGGUAACGGCUCACCAAGGCGAUGAUGGGUAGCCGGCCUGAGAGGGUGAACGGCCACAAGGGGACUGAGACACGGCCCUUACUCCUACGGGAGGCAGCAGUGGGGAAUAUUGGACAAUGGACCAAGAGUCUGAUCCAGCAAUUCUGUGUGCACGAUGACGUUUUUCGGAAUGUAAAGUGCUUUCAGUUGGGAAGAAAAAAAUGACGGUACCAACAGAAGAAGUGACGGCUAAAUACGUG